This 424-nucleotide ribosomal RNA is filed under the name uncultured bacterium. Its description in RNAcentral is "bacterial SSU rRNA". It matches the Rfam family "Bacterial small subunit ribosomal RNA", at positions 356 to 773 of the family's 1533-position model. The record is from RNAcentral.
AGGGAAUCUUCGGCAAUGGACGGAAGUCUGACCGAGCAACGCCGCGUGAGUGAGGAAGGUUUUCGGAUCGUAAAGCUCUGUUGCCAGGGAAGAAGGGUAAGGAGAGUAACUGCUCUUUACUUGACGGUACCUGAGAAGAAAGCCCCGGCUAACUACGUGCCAGCAGCCGCGGUAAUACGUAGGGGGCAAGCGUUGUCCGGAAUUAUUGGGCGUAAAGCGCGCGCAGGCGGUACAUUAAGUCUGGUGUUUAAGCCCAGGGCUCAACCUUGGGACGCACUGGAAACUGGUGAACUAGAGUGCAGAAGAGGAAAGUGGAAUUCCACGUGUAGCGGUGAAAUGCGUAGAGAUGUGGAGGAACACCAGUGGCGAAGGCGACUUUCUGGUCUGUAACUGACGCUGAGGCGCGAAAGCGUGGGGAGCAAAC